AUUGAACACUGGCGGCAGGCUUAACACAUGCAAGUCGAGCGGAGUGAUGGUGCUUGCACUAUCACUUAGCGGCGGACGGGUGAGUAAUGCUUAGGAAUCUGCCUAUUAGUGGGGGACAACAUCUCGAAAGGGAUGCUAAUACCGCAUACGUCCUACGGGAGAAAGCAGGGGAUCACUUGUGACCUUGCGCUAAUAGAUGAGCCUAAGUCGGAUUAGCUAGUUGGUGGGGUAAAGGCCUACCAAGGCGACGAUCUGUAGCGGGUCUGAGAGGAUGAUCCGCCACACUGGGACUGAGACACGGCCCAGACUCCUACGGGAGGCAGCAGUGGGGAAUAUUGGACAAUGGGGGGAACCCUGAUCUAGCCAUGCCGCGUGUGUGAAGAAGGCCUUAUGGUUGUAAAGCACUUUAAGCGAGGAGGAGGCUCUUUUGGUUAAUACCCAAGAUGAGUGGACGUUACUCGCAGAAUAAGCACCGGCUAACUCUGUGCCAGCCGCCGCGGUAA
This 503-nucleotide ribosomal RNA is filed under the name uncultured bacterium. RNAcentral's name for it is "partial 16S ribosomal RNA". It matches the Rfam family "Bacterial small subunit ribosomal RNA", at positions 30 to 523 of the family's 1533-position model. The record is from RNAcentral.